RNAcentral lists this ribosomal RNA (540 nucleotides) under uncultured bacterium. RNAcentral's name for it is "bacterial SSU rRNA". It matches the Rfam family "Bacterial small subunit ribosomal RNA", at positions 777 to 1325 of the family's 1533-position model. The record is from RNAcentral.
AAUAGAUACCCGGGUAGUCCACGCCGUAAACGAUGAGAACUAGGUGUUGGGACGGUUAAUCGUCUCAUUGCCGCAGCUAACGCAUUAAGUUCUCCGCCUGGGGAGUACGGUCGCAAGAUUAAAACUCAAAGGAAUUGACGGGGGCCCGCACAAGCGGUGGAGUAUAUGGUUUAAUUCGACGCAACGCGAAGAACCUUACCUGGUCUUGACAUCCCGGGAAUUUUCUGGAAACAGGAGAGUGCCUCGCAAGAGGAGCCUGGUGACAGGUGCUGCACGGCUGUCGUCAGCUCGUGUCGUGAGAUGUUGGGUUAAGUCCAUCAACGAGCGCAACCCUUAUGGCUAGUUGGAUUUUUCUAGUCAGACCGCCCCGGGUAACGGGGAGGAAGGAGGGGAUGACGUCAGGUCAGUAUUGCCCUUACGUCUGGGGCUACAAACACGCUACAAUGGCCGGUACAAAGGGCUGCCAAGUCGCGAGACGGAGCAAAUCCCAUCAAAGCCGGUCUCAGUUCGGAUUGUAGGCUGAAACUCGCCUGCAUGAAG